Molecule: ribosomal RNA, 302 nt
Filed under: Clostridium perfringens
Lineage: Bacteria; Bacillati; Bacillota; Clostridia; Eubacteriales; Clostridiaceae
Description: partial 16S ribosomal RNA
Rfam family: Bacterial small subunit ribosomal RNA
Source: RNAcentral
UUUAAAUUGAGAGUUUGAUCCUGGCUCAGGAUGAACGCUGGCGGCGUGCUUAACACAUGCAAGUCGAGCGAUGAAGUUUCCUUCGGGAAACGGAUUAGCGGCGGACGGGUGAGUAACACGUGGGUAACCUGCCUCAUAGAGUGGAAUAGCCUUCCGAAAGGAAGAUUAAUACCGCAUAACGUUGAAAGAUGGCAUCAUCAUUUAACCAAAGGAGCAAUCCGCUAUGAGAUGGACCCGCGGCGCAUUAGCUAGUUGGUGGGGUAACGGCCUACCAAGGCGACGAUGCGUAGCCGACCUGAGAG